AAAAUAAAAAAUUAAAAAAACACUUUCAUUGUUAGCUAAUGCAAAAUAGCAUGGCUGAUCAAUCCUGCCCAGAAAACAUAAUCCUCCAAAUGUUGAAAUAAAUGACGAUCACAAAACAGUAAACACUCGCACAUACAGGUCGGCCAACCAAUCACCUCAGUCAAUUGUAUCCAGGUAUAAAUGUAAACUUGAUUCAACAGAGGCAAGGUUUAAAAUGUCUGUACUGAAGGAAGAUAGAUGAGUUGCAUAGCAAAACAAAUUAUCUGACAAGAAAUCAUGUUGUUCAUAACACAAUCCACAUUCCAUGACCUCAUUCU
Camellia sinensis is the source of this 317-nucleotide non-coding RNA. Lineage: Eukaryota; Viridiplantae; Streptophyta; Magnoliopsida; Ericales; Theaceae. The record is from RefSeq and is a predicted model, not a curated record.